GCCAUGGGAGGCAAUUCAUCUAGGAGAGGGACAACUCCGAACAACAAACACGGGCAGAUGGAGGUCGUUAGCCAUGGUAGGUAAUUCAUCUAGGAGAGGGACAACUCCGAACAACAAACACGGGCAGAUGGAGGUCGUUAGCGUAAGCAGUUCACCUAGGAGAGCAAACUCCGAUUACAAACCCGGGCAGGUGGAGGUCGUUAGCGUAAGCAGUUCACCUAGGAGAGCAAACUCCGAUUACAAACCCGGCCAGGUGGAGGUCGUUAGCGUAAGCAGUUCACCUAGGAGAGCAAACUCCGAUUACAAACCCGGCCAGGUGGAGGUCGUUAGCGUGAGCAGUUCACCUAGGAGAAGGACAACUCUGACCACAAACCCGGGCAGGAGGGGGUCGUUAGCCGUGGUAGGCAAUCCUCCUAGGAGAAGGAAAACUCC
Eriocheir sinensis (Chinese mitten crab) is the source of this 432-nucleotide long non-coding RNA. RefSeq lists it as uncharacterized. NCBI's taxonomy places the organism in Eukaryota, Metazoa, Arthropoda, Malacostraca, Decapoda, Varunidae. The transcript is spliced from 3 exons. The record is from RefSeq and is a predicted model, not a curated record.